RNAcentral lists this ribosomal RNA (414 nucleotides) under uncultured bacterium. RNAcentral describes it as "bacterial SSU rRNA". It matches the Rfam family "Bacterial small subunit ribosomal RNA", at positions 28 to 462 of the family's 1533-position model. The record is from RNAcentral.
GAUGAACGCUGGCGGCGUGCCUAAUACAUGCAAGUCGAGCGAACCACUUCGGUGGUGAGCGGCGAACGGGUGAGUAACACGUAGGUGAUCUGCCCAUCAGACGGGGACAACGAUUGGAAACGAUCGCUAAUACCGGAUAGGACGAAAGUUUAAAGGUGCUUCUGGCACCGCUGAUGGAUGAGCCUGCGGCGCAUUAGCUAGUUGGUAGGGUAAAGCCUACCAAGGCGACGAUGCGUAGCCGACCUGAGAGGGUGAACGGCCACACUGGGACUGAGACACGGCCCAGACUCCUACGGGAGGCAGCAGUAGGGAAUCUUCGGCAAUGGGCGAAAGCCUGACCGAGCAACGCCGCGUGAAUGAUGAAGGCCUUCGGGUUGUAAAAUUCUGUUAUAAGGGAAGAACGACUUUAGUAGG